Molecule: long non-coding RNA, 659 nt
Organism: Talpa occidentalis (Iberian mole)
Lineage: Eukaryota; Metazoa; Chordata; Mammalia; Eulipotyphla; Talpidae
Exons: 3
Source: RefSeq, a predicted model, not a curated record
UCCAGAAUGAAUGUCACAAGUGCCUGAUACCAUCAAGGUCCUACAUACCUUUUUAUCUUUCCGCUCCAGAAUCCUUAACCUCAAGCUCUCAAUCUCAUGGUUGCAAGGCAGUGCUCCAUCUCCAAGACCUUUCCCAUGGUCUAGAGAAAAAGAGAAGAGAGGAAUUCAAGAAGUAGUCAAAAUGGAGGAGGCAAUAUGAUAACAGAGCAGAGAUGGAUAGGAUGUGCUUUGAAGAUGAAGGAAGAGCACCACAAGCCAAAGAAGAUGGGCAGUCAACAAAGCCAUUCCAGAGAUAAAUUAACACAACUUAGAUAAGUGGAUGCAAGAUGAACUCCUUUCCUGGCCACUCUGAAAGCCUAAAUAGAUGAAGACAUUAAGAUAAAAUAUCUAAAAGGAUACCAGAGCACUUACUACCAGGACUGAGAAGAGCAUGUGGAUGUGGGAGUAACCCCAGUGUCAUGUGCAAUACCAGCUGGCAAGGUGUGGAGAAAAGGAACCACUUGUGCACCAUUGGUAGGGAUUCUCCAUCACUGCUCAUCAUCAUCCAGCCUGAAGAGUUAUCAAUAUAUUGCCAAAUUGGUUUCAUCUAUACCUCCCAGCCUCCAUUCUCUAAUGCUCAAUAGCAUUACUGAGGAACAAAAUACAUAAAUUUCACCCAU